ACUAUCGAAUCAUUAAUGCUGGCACUGGAAGUCUCUCUAAAAGAGUUACUCCAGUGCUGUUUAUAAAAUACACAGUAGAAAAAUCAACAGGGGUUUUCUUCCCCUAUAUGAAAAACUUUGGUUUAAAAGACAGGGCAGGGUUCAUCAGUAGAGAUCCAACAGCAAGCUGCGCAGAUAUCUUGAGCAACAACCUAAAUUCCAUAGCAGGUGAUGUCACCUAUAAAUGCCCUAUAAAUGGAGGAAGUCUUUGGGUGCAUCUGAAUGAUUUAUCUGCACAGAUACCCAGUGCUACAAGCAUGGCUGUCUCAGCACUACGGCUGACGAUUGUCCUGGGACUACUGGUCUUAAUCCUGACUUGCCAGGCAGAUGACAAACCAGAGGACAAGCCAGAUGACUCAGACAAAAAAACAGAGCCAGAUUUUCCAAAAUUCCUAAACCUCUUGGGCACAGAGAUCAUUGAGAAUGCAGUGGAGUUCAUCCUCCGCUCCAUGACGAGGAGCACGUAAGCACUGUGACAAACCUUGCUUUUGUCCAGUUUGCUGUUGAGGAUUUAUGGAAUUUGAUGAUAAACAAGGAGAACAUUCAGCAAAAUGACUUCCCCAGGACACACCCAACAUGGCUCCAGAAUAACCCAAGGGGAGCAAAUCCUGCUUUUCCAGUUCUGCUUCACGAGUCCGAGGCCCCAAAGCAGCUCCAAGCAAGUUCUCAGGAUUCAGGACCUGGCUCAACCAAAUACAGCUUAUUCUGAACAUCCUGAUUUUGCCUUCUUGCCUCUAGAAGUCAGAGGACAUGUGUCCUCUUAGGGGUCACAUACCCUAUUUAAAUGAGAUUUUUGUUGUUGGUGGUAGUAACUUUCCUGAGCAUCCUUAAAGUUUAAUGAUGCAAAAAAUAUAAAAUAUAUAAAAGUGAUUAUUGGCCAGAAUAAUCAAAGAAUGGUUCAAAAUAAGAAAGUCAAAGCCCAGAUAAAGUAACAAGUCCAAAGUCACACAAUCAGUAAAUGACAAAAAAGGAAUUUGAAACGGACACUAAAGAACAAACUCUAACUCCUAAAAACAUAUGAAGUUUCAGAGUUAAAAGCUUCAUCUAUCCUUUUGCAAAGUCUUUCAAAUACAUCUGAGCCUAUUCUCCUGGGCUAGGUAAACUAAAAGCCAACAUUUUUUUUUUUAAUUAACUAGAUUAUUACUGUUCCAGAUAGUCUUUAUAAUUCUCAAAGAAUAGCAUAGAGUGUCAGGGAUGGAAGAGUCCUCGAAUAGUCUAGUGCAGCUCUUAUAUUUGCUCACCACCUCAUCACACAGAGGCAGGUCCCCAGUAGCCAUUGCUGUCAUUCUUGCCCACUAGGUCAUAGAGAAUCGAAUGCCUGUAAACCUUGACCCAGUGGAGCCAGAAAGAUUCUCCCAGAAUUAUUGAUGUGGACAGUUAAGACCAGACUGAAAUCAUGGAGCUGAUGAUGAUUACAGAUCUAGAAUAUAGGAUCUCUGUACUACUGCUAAUGAGUUCUCACAAGCUGUCCUGAGACUGGUCCUUCCAAAGCACUCCGGCUCUGAAAGUGACUCCAAUGUUUCAAUAAAUCUUUUGUUUGUCUUGUUUCCUA
This is an RNA transcript of Leopardus geoffroyi (Geoffroy's cat), 1591 nucleotides long. It is a transcript of the gene named chromosome A1 C5orf46 homolog, with no coding region annotated. NCBI's taxonomy places the organism in Eukaryota, Metazoa, Chordata, Mammalia, Carnivora, Felidae. The record is from RefSeq and is a predicted model, not a curated record. The transcript has 4 exons.